GGGCGACUAGCUCAGCGGUAGAGCAUUCGCGUCACAUGCGAAGGGUCGUAGGUUCAAUCCCUACGUCGCCCACCA
This 75-nucleotide transfer RNA is filed under the name Roseiarcus sp. RNAcentral's name for it is "tRNA-Val". It matches the Rfam family "tRNA". From Rfam's summary of the family: Transfer RNA (tRNA) molecules are approximately 80 nucleotides in length. Their secondary structure includes four short double-helical elements and three loops (D, anti-codon, and T loops). Further hydrogen bonds mediate the characteristic L-shaped molecular structure. tRNAs have two regions of fundamental functional importance: the anti-codon, which is responsible for specific mRNA codon recognition, and the 3' end, to which the tRNAs corresponding amino acid is attached (by aminoacyl-tRNA synthetases). tRNAs cope with the degeneracy of the genetic code in two manners: having more than one tRNA (with a specific anti-codon) for a particular amino acid; and 'wobble' base-pairing, i.e. permitting non-standard base-pairing at the 3rd anti-codon position. Lineage: Bacteria; Pseudomonadati; Pseudomonadota; Alphaproteobacteria; Hyphomicrobiales; Roseiarcaceae. The record is from RNAcentral. RNAcentral also lists the same sequence under 1 other name.